GAUGAACGCUCGCUACAGGCUUAACACAUGCAAGUCGAGGGGCAGCAUGGUCUUAGCUUGCUAAGGCCGAUGGCGACCGGCGCACGGGUGAGUAACACGUAUCCAACCUGCCGUCUACUCUUGGACAGCCUUCUGAAAGGAAGAUUAAUACAAGAUGGCAUCAUGAGUCCGCAUGUUCACAUGAUUAAAGGUAUUCCGGUAGACGAUGGGGAUGCGUUCCAUUAGAUAGUAGGCGGGGUAACGGCCCACCUAGUCUUCGAUGGAUAGGGGUUCUGAGAGGAAGGUCCCCCACAUUGGAACUGAGACACGGUCCAAACUCCUACGGGAGGCAGCAGUGAGGAAUAUUGGUCAAUGGGCGCAGGCCUGAACCAGCCAAGUAGCGUGAAGGAUGACUGCCCUAUGGGUUGUAAACUUCUUUUAUAAAGGAAUAAAGUCGGGUAUGGAUACCCGUUUGCAUGUACUUUAUGAAUAAGGAGCGGCUAACUCCGUG
RNAcentral lists this ribosomal RNA (490 nucleotides) under uncultured bacterium. RNAcentral's name for it is "partial 16S ribosomal RNA". It matches the Rfam family "Bacterial small subunit ribosomal RNA", at positions 28 to 507 of the family's 1533-position model. The record is from RNAcentral.